AAUAAAUCAACCUUUCAGUUUUAAGAUACAAUGUUUGACUCUUCUUCUUAUUUAAAAAAAGUUUACGAUUAAUAAUUUUAUUUUUAUUAGAUGAUAAAACAUGAAUAGUAUUUCAUGUGUGACUAUUUUUUAAAAAAUUGUUGAAUUUUUUUCAAAUAAGACGGAUGGUCAAACGCUCGACACAAAAAUC
Molecule: microRNA precursor, 190 nt
Filed under: Oryza brachyantha (malo sina)
Lineage: Eukaryota; Viridiplantae; Streptophyta; Magnoliopsida; Poales; Poaceae
Description: MIR812 microRNA precursor family
Rfam family: MIR812 microRNA precursor family
Source: Rfam by way of RNAcentral